Small nucleolar RNA from Cebus imitator (Panamanian white-faced capuchin), 216 nucleotides. Its record names the gene U3. It matches the Rfam family "Small nucleolar RNA U3". Rfam says of the family: Small nucleolar RNAs (snoRNAs) are involved in the processing and modification of rRNA in the nucleolus. Lineage: Eukaryota; Metazoa; Chordata; Mammalia; Primates; Cebidae. The record is from Ensembl.
AAGGCUAUACUUUCAGGGAUAAUUUCUAUAGUUUGUUACUAGAGAAGUUUCUCUGAAUGUGUAGAGCACAAGAAACCAUGAGGAGGGGGAGAAGAUGCAGGAUUCUCUCCUAAAUGUGAAGCCAGCUCUUGGUGUUGCUUCAACUGCCAUUUGCUAUUAAUGAUAGUUCUUCUUUCCACUGGGAGAAUGGAAAGGAGAGGAUGCAGUCUUUGUGGU